CGCACCGGCCGGCGAGCUUGCUCUCGGGAAAAGUCCGGCCUCGCCUCACGGCCCCAGUUGCCAGAUGGGUAGACUGAGGCCGGGAACAGUGCGGGGCGUCGGCAGAGCCGCGGGGGAACAGGAACUCCAGGAGAGUCCACACUGGAAGCAGAGAAGGAAGGAUCAUCAGCCUGUGACAGAUUCCACAUACAAAAGGAAUGCCCUCAAAUCCAGUCCGGGUUGCUGCAAAUG
Condylura cristata (star-nosed mole) is the source of this 231-nucleotide long non-coding RNA. RefSeq lists it as uncharacterized. The transcript has 3 exons. The record is from RefSeq and is a predicted model, not a curated record. NCBI's taxonomy places the organism in Eukaryota, Metazoa, Chordata, Mammalia, Eulipotyphla, Talpidae.